RNAcentral lists this ribosomal RNA (253 nucleotides) under uncultured bacterium. RNAcentral describes it as "partial 16S ribosomal RNA". It matches the Rfam family "Bacterial small subunit ribosomal RNA", at positions 524 to 776 of the family's 1533-position model. The record is from RNAcentral.
UACAGAGGGGGCAAGCGUUGUUCGGAAUUACUGGGCGUAAAGGGCGCGUAGGCGGCCUGUUAAGUCGAACGUGAAAUCCCUGGGCUCAACCCAGGAACUGCGUCCGAUACUGGCAGGCUUGAAUCCGGGAGAGGGAUGCGGAAUUCCAGGUGUAGCGGUGAAAUGCGUAGAUAUCUGGAGGAACACCGGUGGCGAAGGCGGCAUCCUGGACCGGCAUUGACGCUGAGGCGCGAAAGCGUGGGGAGCAAACGGG